GCUAACGUAGCUUAAUUAAAGCAUAACACUGAAGAUGUUAAGACGGCCCUUAAAUUGGGCCCGGAAGCA
RNAcentral lists this transfer RNA (69 nucleotides) under Joturus pichardi (bobo mullet). RNAcentral's name for it is "tRNA-Phe". It matches the Rfam family "tRNA". Rfam says of the family: Transfer RNA (tRNA) molecules are approximately 80 nucleotides in length. The record is from RNAcentral. Lineage: Eukaryota; Metazoa; Chordata; Actinopteri; Mugiliformes; Mugilidae.